This 109-nucleotide ribosomal RNA is filed under the name uncultured eukaryote. Its description in RNAcentral is "partial small subunit ribosomal RNA". It matches the Rfam family "Bacterial small subunit ribosomal RNA", at positions 1419 to 1525 of the family's 1533-position model. The record is from RNAcentral.
ACCCAAAGUCGCCUGACCUAACUGUAAAAGGAGGGGGCGCCUAAGGUAAAGGCGAUGACUGGAGUGAAGUCGUAACAAGGUAGCUGUAGGUGAACCUGCAGAAGGAUCA